Molecule: long non-coding RNA, 272 nt
Organism: Fukomys damarensis (Damara mole-rat)
Lineage: Eukaryota; Metazoa; Chordata; Mammalia; Rodentia; Bathyergidae
Exons: 3
Source: RefSeq, a predicted model, not a curated record
CAUUAUGUUGCAUUUCUAAGUCGAUCCGAUCCUCUCUCUGCCUUUUUCCAAGUCUCUUUGCUCCUGCAUUCCUUUGAUGAAUGUCUGAGCACAGAGAGGUCCCCAGAGAUUCCCGGUUCCUUUAAAAAGACGAGAAAGGGUGACCUGGUGUUUAACCACAUGCAGACAUCACAGAUGCUCAUGAUCUCACCAGAAAAGGAGUCCAGAUUCAGGGCAGCUUCCUGCUAAGACUCGAGGGUUGCACAAGAUCUGUUUGAGCCGCAUCACCCCUC